Molecule: long non-coding RNA, 285 nt
Organism: Salmo salar (Atlantic salmon)
Lineage: Eukaryota; Metazoa; Chordata; Actinopteri; Salmoniformes; Salmonidae
Source: RefSeq, a predicted model, not a curated record
UGGAUGUGCACGGCAGAGUUGUUGACAAAUACAUAUCCAACACAUGGGCUAGUCCAGCAUCCAGAUUGGAGCUGUAAAUACAAUCAAGAUGGUCAAAUAGCAGAGUUGUGAGUUUGGCACUGAUGAUCAACACAUACUGUAUUUGGAUUAAAAUGUCAAGAAGACAGGUGUUCGAAACUGAACGCUGGGGAGAGACCCUGACCUUUACGAUGGCGGGAGAGGAGAUAAAUCAGAAAGCAGCCUCUUCCAACGUUGUUUUAGAGAAUUUGGCAGUACGUCCAACUG